GAGUGGCGAACGGGUGAGUAACACGUGAGCAACCUGCCCUUGACUCUGGGAUAACAGUUGGAAACAGCUGCUAAUACCGGAUACGACCCUCGAUGACAUCAUCGGGGGUGGAAAGCGUUUAGCGGUCAAGGAUGGGCUCGCGGCCUAUCAGCUUGUUGGUGAGGUAACGGCUCACCAAGGCUUCGACGGGUAGCCGGCCUGAGAGGGCGACCGGCCACACUGGGACUGAGAUACGGCCCAGACUCCUACGGGAGGCAGCAGUGGGGAAUAUUGCACAAUGGGCGCAAGCCUGAUGCAGCAACGCCGCGUGCGGGAUGACGGCCUUCGGGUUGUAAACCGCUUUCAGUUCCGACGAAGCGCAAGUGACGGUAGGAACAGAAGAAGGACCGGCCAACUACGUGCCAGCAGCCGCGGUGAUACGUAGGGUCCGAGCGUUGUCCGGAAUUAUUGGGCGUAAAGGGCUUGUAGGCGGUUUGUCGCGUCGGAAGUGAAAACUCAGGGCUUAACCCUGAGCCUGCUUCCGAUACGGGCAAACUAGAGGGAUGCAGGGGAGAAUGGAAUUCCUGGUGGAGCGGUGGAAUGCGCAGAUAUCAGGAGGAACACCGGUGGCGAAGGCGGUUCUCUGGGCAUUUCC
This 634-nucleotide ribosomal RNA is filed under the name uncultured bacterium. Its description in RNAcentral is "bacterial SSU rRNA". It matches the Rfam family "Bacterial small subunit ribosomal RNA", at positions 93 to 740 of the family's 1533-position model. The record is from RNAcentral.